Long non-coding RNA from Chinchilla lanigera (long-tailed chinchilla), 2908 nucleotides. RefSeq lists it as uncharacterized. The record is from RefSeq and is a predicted model, not a curated record. NCBI's taxonomy places the organism in Eukaryota, Metazoa, Chordata, Mammalia, Rodentia, Chinchillidae. The transcript is spliced from 8 exons.
UUUGAUUCCCAGUACCAGAAAAAAACCAAAACAAACAAACAAAAAAAACAACAACAACAAAAGAAAACACAAAAAUGGGUGUUAUACACAGUACCAGGUAAAGGCAAGUAAAAAGAGUGAGAACAAAAAUAAUGAAAAUACUAUAAUUUAAGCAAUUACUACUCAGAUCUGGCAUUUAAGUUUAUCCUACUGAUAGGUAAUAAAUUAGUCUAAUUCUGUUUCAUGGAUGCUGUAGAAGACAUAAGUUUCCUGGUUCAGAGACACAGGACUAUUAUUCACAACACAGGAAGUAACAUGAGUAUCUGCAUAUUUGUGUCAGUUCCUCUUACCUACCAGGUACCAUGUGAAUAAAGAUCGCAGGUAAGUGUUAUUUAGUGGAUUUACAUCACAGCUAAGGAACACUGAGCAUGGGGAAGCUGCCAUUUUAUAGAAGCAGUAAGAAAACCUGUUCUGUGUCCUGAAGGGAGAUAUUAUUUCAUCUUUCAAGGUUGCUUACUACAAACACAACCCACAAGCCUGAGUAAAGACCCUAGUAAAUAGCAGUAAAACCAUCCAUUCUUGGCCAAAAAUUACUAUUGGCCAAACUCUCCUCCGAGCACUUUACAUCUAUUAUCUCAUUAAAUCCUUACCACCCUAUAAUGUUCUCUAUUUUAUAGAUGAAUAAAGAGGCAUAGAGAAGUUACAGAACCAAUAAAUAAUGAAUCCAGGAGAAGCAUAGGUCUGAUGACCUGUAAAAUCAAUAGGAAACCCCCUGAAAGAGUUUAUUGACUAUGAAUGGAAAUGACCUAACAGUCACUGGUUAAAUUACGAUACAUCCACAAUGGAAACCUGAGUCCCUGCAAACAAAAAAUAAGGCAGCUCUUCGUGCACCGGAACAGAAUGAGCUCACGGAGGUGGUGCAUGGUUAAGUGAAAGAAGGUACAGCACGGACUAUGGACCACAGCAGCAUUUGUGUGUAAGAGGAACCGUGUGUGCUUAUAUCUUUAGAAGCAUUCACACACUGAGAGCUACUGAGAAGGGAGAUUGGACAGCUGGGCUGGUGACAGGGACCAGGAAUAGAACUCAGGACCCCGCACAUGCCAGUUUCAGAGGCACAUACCCCUCCAGGUGGCCUCCAGUGAGUCAUGCUCUUGCACAAUCCCCUCCCCUGAGGGCGAGUGGAAACUGAAGCAUGCUUCUGGGCAAUAAAAUAUGGCAAAGGUGAUGAUGCGUCACCCCCACGGCUCUGUCACACCACAUAACCCUGCACUGCUUCCUAGUCGAUCAGACAAGAGGGUCUUCUGUUGGCCCAGCUGCCUAUGGAGACACCAGGAGGCAGAGAGCUCCGGGGUGCCCCAGACAGCGGCCCCCAGGGACAACAAGGAAACUUGCCCUCAGCCCGGUACCCUUACGAAAUCCUGCUGACAACAGCGUGAUCUCAGAAGAUCCUGAGCUCCACAGAGGAGCACUCCACCAUGGGCAUGGUGGCACAUGUCUGUUAGCCCAGCUCUCCAGAGACUGAGGCAGGAGAAUCACAAAUUUGAGGCCAGCCUGGGCAACUUAUUAAGACAGUUUUAAAAAUAAAAAUAAAAAAAGAAAUGGAGGAAAGAAGAAGACAGCCCAGCCAGUACCUUGACUCCUGAAAUCAACCAAAACUGGAUUCUGUGGCUCAGAAGCUCAAAUGGGACACAGUGGGGACGGCUUGUCUGUGCAUCAUGAUGCCCUCGGGAAGAUACAAAGGCUAAGGGCAACUACAUGGCUGGGGUGUGGCAGCAUCUGGAAAUCUUGGUUUCUCCAGCUCUAGAAAUGAUGGUGUCCACUUCAUCACCCAGGUGAAAUAAGACUUCACAGGUCACUGUCAUCAAAACAGUUUAAUGAAACACUGAGACACAUUCUACAAUACAGAUGAACCUUAAAGAUAUAAUGCUAAAUGAACAAGCCAGCCACAGAAAGACAGAUGUUCCAUGUGGCUCACAAAGCAGCUGUUGUGGUUCGUAUCUAGAUGUCCUCCAAGAGCCGCAGGGGCUCAUCGGCUUCUGGAAAGUGAUUAAACCAUGAGACACCUGAGCAGACUGCUGCUGGGAGGUGGUGUCUGGUCAGAAGAGGUGGGUCACUGGGAGUGUGACCAGGAAGGGCACAGCCCCUGGCUCUUUUCUCCUUUCUUGGCUUCCUGGCCCCCAUGAUGUGAGCUGCUUUCCUUCACCAGAGUCUUACAGCCUGUCUGCCUGCCUUGCCCCAGCGGACUAAAACUGUGAGCUGAAAUAAACCUCAAGGAUGAAAGGUCCCAGAGAUGGAUGGUGAUGGUGGUGGUUAUACAGCAGUGUAAAUGUAUUGAUGCCACUGAACCAUACACUUUAAAAUGCUCCUGAUGCCAGGCACCUGCCCCAGGGCUCCUUUAGGAGUGAUGGUCUUUUCUUCAAUGAUCCUGGUCAACUACUUGGCAAAACAUCUCGCUGGUGACAGGAAAGGGAAUCACUUUAUCCUCUCAGCAUCGAUGAAAGACCCACAACCUGCCAGACAUGGGCCAGAGUCGGGAACAGGGAGGUGCGCCGGGUGUUCUGCAUGAUUAUAGGCUACUGACACAAACUGUCGUCUCAAAGGAUCCAAGUCCCGUGUGUUUGAAAAAGCCACUGGAAGGCUCAUCUGAAUCUUCAAGCAGUUGUGAUACUCUGAAAUGUGAUUGGGACUGGAUUAUGAGGAACCUGGUAUUUGAAGGAACAGCGAAGCAGGCCUCAGAGAAGUGAAGGCCCACCCACCUCAAGGUGGCAGGAUAAGCCACACUAGCACCCAGCACUCCAGACCACCCCUGCCGAUCUUCCUUUCUUUCCUUUUUCCCCUUCAGAUGCCCAGAACAGUGUUCUUCAUUCAGCGGACACAGCGUAUUUCUAGUUAUUUCAUCCUCUCCAGAAAAAAAUAAAAAUAAAAAUUA